CAACCAUUCAUCAGAAUCAGCCCAAAGAGCCCAACCCAGCCCAACUACGUGUGUACUGUACUAUUGUGUUAUGCAAAUCCUAGCUAGCUAGCAACAACCAACAGGCAACAGGCAGCCGAGCCAGCCGACUACUCCCAUUCCCCGAUUUCCCCCGACCCCCACGCAUCCCGGCCGGCGGCCGCCGCCGCCGCCUCACCCCUUCGCCGCCGCGUCCUCACCCCUUCGCCGCCGCCUCCGCCACCUCACCUCUUUGCCGCCGCCGCCGCCGCCUCGCCCCUUCGCCACAGCCGCCGCCUCUUCGUCGGCGUCGUCGCGUCGGCCAACAGCCGCCUCCUCUUCGCCGGCGUCGUCGCAUCGCCGUAUCACCGCCACUGCCGGUCUGCCGCAUCAUCGUCUCGCCGUAGGCCCGUAAGCAGAUCUGUGAAUCUGUGAUGAAUUCCUCUCAUGCAAGUAGCAGCAGCUUCAGCUUGUGCAGUGCGAGUGUAGCAGCUUUGCCAACAAACCUAACACCAUCUGAGCCGACGCAAGUAGCUGAUGCCAACCCACAACCACAAGUGUCUGAUGCAGGUGCCAUUGCAGCAAGUUUGUGGAUGUUUCUCGUUAUAGUAUUAUUAAUUGUUGAUCUUUGCAAAUGUAACAUGCUCUAUUAGAAAAAACAAGAAGUUAUAUUUCUUUAUUGAUUUGUGAAGGUCAGUUUGAGGGGGUUUUAUGUUCCGAUUAAUAUUCGUUACCGUAUUCGUUUCGAUU
Molecule: long non-coding RNA, 747 nt
Organism: Oryza sativa Japonica Group (Japanese rice)
Lineage: Eukaryota; Viridiplantae; Streptophyta; Magnoliopsida; Poales; Poaceae
Source: RefSeq, a predicted model, not a curated record